AUGGUCUGGUAGCAGACCAAGGAGGGGAAGAUAAGAAGAAGAAGGGAAAGAAAAAAAAGAAAAAAAAAGAGGAGGAUGGAGGGGGGGGCCGGGGGAGAAGAGGGCAGCGCCGAAAAAGAAGGAUGGGUGAUGCCUGAAUCUAUGGGCCACCUACGGCUGAACUGUAACCUUGCCGACUACAUGAACCCGGGCUUUAUGUUUUUGCUACGAUGGUGUUGGUUGACGGGUUUGUGGCUGGGUUGUUUGUUAAUUUACACGAUCUGUUAGCUCAUCUUAUCGACUUGAUUUCCGGGACCAGGGCGCUUCAAAUGGUAUCAGAGUAAUAGUCCUCGGACAAUUGUUACUGUAGUGUUUCAAUUUUUUUGUUUUGUUGUAACACUUGAGUAGAGAUUUUUGUCGAUUUUAUCUUACUUUGCUCACCACUCAAGUUUUUGUUUCUUUUCUUGUUGGAGGUACUAUUUUUCUUUAAUCUUCAUAAUGUCUUAACUGAAACCAGAUUUCCAUUUUGUACUUUUGGAUUAGUAUUUGUUACUUUGCACUCCUUGUUUUUGUUAAA
Rosa rugosa (rugosa rose) is the source of this 556-nucleotide long non-coding RNA. RefSeq lists it as uncharacterized. The record is from RefSeq and is a predicted model, not a curated record. Lineage: Eukaryota; Viridiplantae; Streptophyta; Magnoliopsida; Rosales; Rosaceae. The transcript has 2 exons.